Long non-coding RNA from Cavia porcellus (domestic guinea pig), 3481 nucleotides. The record is from Ensembl. Lineage: Eukaryota; Metazoa; Chordata; Mammalia; Rodentia; Caviidae.
CUGAAACUUACUGUCUUGUGGUUGAAUUAGCAGACGAGUGUUGUGCCUUUUUUAUGCUGUCAAAAUCUUUUCUCUGUGUAACACUAUAGCAAUUUGUGUUUUGUAGUUUUUCAUUGAUCUGUUUUUAGAUGCUUAGCUAUUUACUUUCAGUGUUCUUUAUUUUUUCAGAAUCACAGUCAUUGGUUCAGGAGCUCAAGGUGUCUAAUAAGGACAAGGCUGGUAUAUCUUUAAAAAACAAUAAAUCAACUUGUCAUGAAACUGCUGAAAUUCCUGAGGGCAGUAAAACUAAAACCUGUUUAGAAAGGAAAAGAGUAAAUGAAAAUGAACUUCAGCAAGAUGAACUACCAACGAAGAAAGGACUUCUGCUUGUUAGUUCAUUUAUCACCAGUGAGCAAAAGAAAAGUAAAGAAAUGCAACAGAUCAUUUCAGAAGAUGAGGACGAUAUUACAGUUUUACAAGAAAAGAAUAAAGAGCUUAAAACACUUGUACUCCUUGUUGAGAAUGAACUUAAAAAUGAAAAGGAGGAGAAAGAAAAAUUAAAUGAACAAGUUGUUUGUUUGCACCAGCAACUUUCUUGUUCUGAAAAAAAGAAUUUAACUUUAAGUAGAGAAGUUCAACAAAUGCAGGCAAAUUAUGACAGCAUAAAUGCUGAACUCAGUGUGCAGAAAAAUGUAAAUCAGGAACAGGAAGAAAAGAUCAUGAAAUUGUCAGAGGAGAUAGAAGUUGCUACAAAAAACAUCACAAGCAAUGUUUUACAAAUAAAAUUAAUGCAGACAAAAAUAGAUGAACUGCGUUCACUUGAUUCAGUUUCUCAGAUCUCAAACAUAGAUUUACUCAAACUUAGAAUUCAGUCAAAAGAGUCUCAGGAAAAGAAUUUCCCUGACACACAGUUACACCUUGCAAGUGAUAAUUUUUUGGUGAAUAAGCAGGUUAAAGAAUAUCAUAUUCAUGAACUCAGUGAGCAAAAUUCUUUCCACUCUAGUAUUGAGGCCAUUUGGGAAGAAUGUAAGGAAAUUGUGAAGGCCUCCUCUAAAAAGAGUCAGCACAUCCAGGAAUUACAACAGCAAAUGGAAAAAUUACAGGCAGAAAUAAAAGGUUAUCAGGAUGACAACAUUGUACUAAAAGUAAAGCACAGCGAGAUUGAGAAUCAAGAUAAUCUCAUCAAGAAAGAGAUUGAGAAUCAAGAAAAUCUUAUACAGCAGCUGAAAGAAGAACUGCAAGAGAAAAGUGUUAGUCUUAGUGUUCAAGUACAGCUUGUAGCUGAAGGAAAGAAAGCACUUUCAGAACUUACACAAGAUGUUAUUGGUUAUAAAGCAAAAAUACAGGAACUUGAAACAAUCCUAGAGACUCAGAAAGACAAAUGUAGUAAUGUAGCCAAGUUAGAGCAAGACAUUUCAGCAAAAGAAUCUGUCAUCUUAAAGCUAGAAGAAAAGCUGAAGGAAUUUCAAGCAAACCUUAAGGAUUCUAUCAAAAAUACCGAAGAUUUAAGUAAAAAAGAAGUUGUGUUGAAAGAAGAAAUCACACAGUUAACAAAUAAUUUGCAGGAUCUGACGCAUUCACUUCAAUUAAAGGAAGAAGAAAAAGAAGCUAACAGACAAGAAAUAGAAAAAUUGAAAGAAGAACUCUCUGCAAGCUCUGCUUUUGCCCAAAGUCUGAAAGCAGAUCUUCAGAGAAAGGAAGAUGAUUGUGUUGAACUGAAAGAGAAACUGACUGAUGCCAAAAAGCAGAUUGAGCAAGUACAGAAAGAGGUAUCUGUAAUGCGUGAUGAAGAGAAAUUACUGAGGACUAAAAUAAAUGAGCUAGAGAAAAAGAAAAACCAGUGUUCUCAGGAAAUAGAUAUGAAACAGAGAACUAUUCAGCAGCUCAAGGAGCAGUUAAGCAAUCAGAAAGUGGAAGAAGCUAUACAGCAAUAUGAGAGAGUAUGUAAAGAUCUAAAUGUUAAAGAGAAAAUGAUUAAAGACAUGCGAAUGACCCUUGAGGAACAAGAACAAACUCAAAUAGAACAAGAUCAAGCACUUGAGGCUAAAUUGAAGGAAGCAGAAUGGUUGGCCACAGAAUUGGAAAAAUGGAAGGAAAAAUACAAAAAUCUGGAAACCAAAAAUGAUUGUAAAUCAAAUAAACAAUUUGAGGGUGACACAGACAUACUUCAUAAAAAGCUCAGUAAGCUUCAAGAUGAAUUGCAGGAAUGUGAACAGCAAUAUAAAGCUGAUAGGAAGAAAUGGUUAGAAGAAAAAAUGAUGCUUAUCACUCAAGCAAAAGAAGCUGAAAAUCUACGAAACAAAGAGAUGAAAAAAUAUGCAGAAGAUAGAGAGCGUUGUUUAAAGCAACAAAAUGAAGUGGAAAUACUGACAGCACAGCUGGCAGGGAAGAACAGUGACCUUCAGAAGUGGAGAGAAGAGCGAGACCAGCUGGUUGCUGCUUUAGAAAUACAGCUGAAAGCACUGAUCUCCAGUAACAGAGAGAAAGAUAAUGAAAUUGAACAGUUACGAAACAGCACAUCAGAGGCUUCUGAAAAAGAAAAACAAAACACAGUCACGAAGCCUAGACAUACUAGUUCAAAAGAUUCUGCCGGGAUUGAAAGUGAACCUCAAUCAGCAAGGUUUGAAAUUUCCAAGAAUGUAGUGGAGGAUGGAUCAGUGGUUCUUGAUUCUUGUGAAGUGUCAACAGAAAAUGAACUAAGUACUCGAUUUCCGAAACCUGAGUUGGAGAUUCAGUUUACACCUUUACAACCAAACAAAAUGUCAGUGAAACAUCCUGGUUGUACCACACCAGUGACAGUUAAGAUUUCUAAGGCCCGGAAGAGGAAGAGUAGUGAAAUGGAAGAGGACUUGACAAAAUAUGAAAAUAAGAAGAAUGCUACACCCAGAGCAAAUUUUAAAUUCCCUAUUUCAGAGAUGACACAUUCUUCUGUCAAAAAAGAACAAAAGGUUUCUGCACAUUUAUCAUCUAAGAAAACAUACUCUUUACGGAGUCAGGCACCCACAACAAGUGUAAACUUGGUCACUAAGAGAAAAGAAGGGACAUUACAGAAAUUUGGAGACUUUUUACAACGUUCUCCAACAAUUCUUCAGUCAAAAGCAAAAAAGAUAAUUGAAACAAUGAGCUCUUCAAAGCAUUCAAAUUCAGAAGCAAGUAAGGAAAAUGUAUCUCAACCAAAAAGAGCGAAACGGAAAUUAUACACAAAUGAAAUUUCGUCUCCUAUUGAUAUAUCUGGCCAAGUGAUUUUAGUGGACCAUGAAGUAAAGGAAAGUGAUCACCAGAUUCUCAAGCGACGGCUUCGAACACGAAUAGCCAAAUAAAUGACCUUUGGAGAAUGUAAAUUUUAUAUUCAUAAUCAUUGUGACUUGCAUCUUGUCUUUUUAAAGAUAACUGUAUAUGUUAUGAUACAUUAUAUCCUGUACAGAGAUUGCUAUUUUAUACACAGUAUAAUUUUGAUUCAAUAAAUAAGUCAACAAUAAAUUUCCUGGUGUACAUUUUAAAU